AUGCUGUGAUGAGUUUAUUAUACGCUAUGAAUUUCCAUUGAAAUCCAAUAUCCACGAGCUUUUUAACUCUGAGCAUA
This 77-nucleotide small nucleolar RNA is filed under the name Diaphorina citri (Asian citrus psyllid). The record is from RNAcentral. Lineage: Eukaryota; Metazoa; Arthropoda; Insecta; Hemiptera; Psyllidae.